This 253-nucleotide ribosomal RNA is filed under the name uncultured bacterium. RNAcentral's name for it is "partial 16S ribosomal RNA". It matches the Rfam family "Bacterial small subunit ribosomal RNA", at positions 524 to 776 of the family's 1533-position model. The record is from RNAcentral.
UACGUAGGUGACAAGCGUUGUCCGGAUUUACUGGGCGUAAAGAGCGCGCAGGCGGUCGUUCAAGUCGAGUGUGAAAGCCCCCGGCUCAACUGGGGAGGGUCAUUCGAUACUGAUCGACUCGAAGGCAGGAGAGGGUAGUGGAAUUCCUGGUGUAGCGGUGAAAUGCGCAGAUAUCAGGAGGAACACCGAUGGCGAAGGCAGGUCUCUGGGCAUUAACUGACGCUGAGGAGCGAAAGCAUGGGGAGCGAACAGG